UUGUUAAAAUUAAUUGACUUUUAGUUUGCCUAUACAUCAUACUGUGUUGUGAUGGAGUGUUCCGAUAUGUUGUCCAAGUAUAAAUUCUAUUGUAAUGGUUAUGCUCUGUCAUAACAUUGUUUAUUAUAUAACUUCAAAAUUUUUGAGGCAAUGGCUUAUGACUCUCAUGCUUCACAGUUUCAGGUACAAUUUGCUAUUGAAAUGGAAUAUCAUUUUUAUAUAGGUGGAAGACAAUAACUAUUAGCGUUGCAACCAGAGUUGCUUAGUGCUAAGCAACUCUUUACAAUGAUUUACAAGCAUUGAAAAGGCAUCUGCAAAAAAAGUGUGGCAUUCCUAGCCCAGGAUAACUACUUUUUGCCUGGAUUCUAAAGCUCAAUAUAACUAUUUCAAAGGGUCUCCUUAUCUUUAAAGAGCAGUGAUUUCAAGGAUAUUGAACUAUUAUUAUUUUAAUUGUGUAAUUAAAUGAAAUCAGUAUCUCAGUAUAGUGUUGCAUGCAAUA
Molecule: long non-coding RNA, 499 nt
Organism: Amphimedon queenslandica
Lineage: Eukaryota; Metazoa; Porifera; Demospongiae; Haplosclerida; Niphatidae
Exons: 2
Source: RefSeq, a predicted model, not a curated record